GAAAAUGGAGGAAGCAGCCAUGGCAGCUGAGGCUCUUGCACUUGUUGAACUCAAUGCACUUGCUGGAACAAAGGGUUCGUCCGGAUUUUCCUUCCCGGAGCCGGAGUCGAAGCCGGAACAAUCUCCUCGAACUCCGAAAGUACUACAAAAGGCAGCAGAAGAGGUUUCUAACAGGGAAAUGAUUCAUUCAAUGCAUGAAUUUGAUGAAGCAAACAAUAUUUCUCAACUUACAAUCUUGAGAAAGCUUGAAGAAGCUUCAAAUGCAAUGAAAAAAAGUAAACAAGCAUUGGAAGAGGCUCUAAAAAGUGUUGAAAUCGCAAACAAGAAGCAGCUGGAUGCUGAAGAAUCUCUCAGGAAAUGGAACAAACAGGUGGUCUACAAUGGUUCAAAUAUCAACAAUCUUCAAAGACCUCCAUUAAAGGAUGUGAUGAUGAACAAGCAAAACCCAAAGCCUGUUCCAAGGCCAACAGUGUCAAUGAGGGAUAUGUUGAAAAAGGCUAAUGAAGGCCAAACUGAAAGACAAAAAGUAGCUUUGAGCCAAAUGCUAGAUGAACUAAAGCAAGAUUUGAGAUUUCACCCAAAAACAGCAGCUGGUGAUCAUGAUAAAAAACAUCAUGGUGAUGAUCAUCGAAAACAGGUUUUCACACAAAGGAGAAGAUUUGGGUUCAUCCACAUAUCACUC
Molecule: long non-coding RNA, 682 nt
Filed under: Gossypium barbadense (sea-island cotton)
Lineage: Eukaryota; Viridiplantae; Streptophyta; Magnoliopsida; Malvales; Malvaceae
Description: long non-coding RNA (GBAR_LNC017437)
Source: RNAcentral